AUGCUCACUUCUACACAUGUACUAAAAUUGAACAAUGCAGUGAAGAUCAGCCUGCCUCCUGUGCAAGAAUGACAUGCAAAUUUGUGAAGCGUUCCAUAUCUUU
Molecule: small nuclear RNA, 103 nt
Filed under: Catagonus wagneri (Chacoan peccary)
Lineage: Eukaryota; Metazoa; Chordata; Mammalia; Artiodactyla; Tayassuidae
Source: RNAcentral